GACGAACGCUGGCGGCGUGCUUAACACAUGCAAGUCGAACGGAAAGGCCCUUCGGGGUACUCGAGUGGCGAACGGGUGAGUAACACGUGGGUGAUCUGCCCUGCACUUUGGGAUAAGCCUGGGAAACUGGGUCUAAUACCGGAUAUACCUCAUGGACUGCAUGGUUUGUGGGGGAAAGCUUUUGCGGUGUGGGAUGGGCCCGCGGCCUAUCAGCUUGUUGGUGAGGUUACGGCUCACCAAGGCGACGACGGGUAGCCGGCCUGAGAGGGUGACCGGCCACACUGGGACUGAGAUACGGCCCAGACUCCUACGGGAGGCAGCAGUGGGGAAUAUUGCACAAUGGGCGCAAGCCUGAUGCAGCGACGCCGCGUGAGGGAUGACGGCCUUCGGGUUGUAAACCUCUUUCAGCAGGGACGAAGCGCAAGUGACGGUACCUGUAGAAGAAGGACCGGCCAACUACGUGCCAGCCGCCGCCGUAAGAC
RNAcentral lists this ribosomal RNA (482 nucleotides) under uncultured bacterium. RNAcentral describes it as "bacterial SSU rRNA". It matches the Rfam family "Bacterial small subunit ribosomal RNA", at positions 28 to 526 of the family's 1533-position model. The record is from RNAcentral.